RNAcentral lists this ribosomal RNA (613 nucleotides) under Escherichia coli. RNAcentral's name for it is "bacterial SSU rRNA". It matches the Rfam family "Bacterial small subunit ribosomal RNA", at positions 108 to 717 of the family's 1533-position model. The record is from RNAcentral. Lineage: Bacteria; Pseudomonadati; Pseudomonadota; Gammaproteobacteria; Enterobacterales; Enterobacteriaceae.
GAGUAAUGUCUGGGAAACUGCCUGAUGGAGGGGGAUAACUACUGGAAACGGUAGCUAAUACCGCAUAACGUCGCAAGACCAAAGAGGGGGACCUUCGGGCCUCUUGCCAUCGGAUGUGCCCAGAUGGGAUUAGCUAGUAGGUGGGGUAACGGCUCACCUAGGCGACGAUCCCUAGCUGGUCUGAGAGGAUGACCAGCCACACUGGAACUGAGACACGGUCCAGACUCCUACGGGAGGCAGCAGUGGGGAAUAUUGCACAAUGGGCGCAAGCCUGAUGCAGCCAUGCCGCGUGUAUGAAGAAGGCCUUCGGGUUGUAAAGUACUUUCAGCGGGGAGGAAGGGAGUAAAGUUAAUACCUUUGCUCAUUGACGUUACCCGCAGAAGAAGCACCGGCUAACUCCGUGCCAGCAGCCGCGGUAAUACGGAGGGUGCAAGCGUUAAUCGGAAUUACUGGGCGUAAAGCGCACGCAGGCGGUUUGUUAAGUCAGAUGUGAAAUCCCCGGGCUCAACCUGGGAACUGCAUCUGAUACUGGCAAGCUUGAGUCUCGUAGAGGGGGGUAGAAUUCCAGGUGUAGCGGUGAAAUGCGUAGAGAUCUGGAGGAAUACCGGUGGCG